AUAAACAGACGAAAAUUUAAUAAAUAUCCUAAAACUCUUCGACCCUAAAUUAUUCACAUCCAACCCUAAUCUCUUCGACUACACACAGCGAAACCCCAGGGGGUGGGCAGUUCUUCUGCUUCUCGGUUGUUCUGCUUCCGUUAAUGGCAGCUCUCGUUUUCGAUUUCCUGCCUUUCGUUGCUUCUCCUCCUCCGUAGAUUCCCAAUCGUUCCCCAAUCAAACCCCUAAUCAACACCAACACCACCAUCACCAUAAGUUUCAAAACACUAGCUCUUCAGAUUUAGCUUCGUCCACGUCCUCGUCUUCGGAUUGGAUUGUUGAGGAUGCUUCCCACCAUCGCAGCCAAAACCAGAUACCGGACUACCAAGAGGAGCAAGCUAGGGUGCUUCGUGCUUCCCUUUGCUGUUUAUCUGCUCUUCAUAGCUAUUAAGCUGCAAUGGUUGCAGGUGCCAGAGACGCCGAUGUGUCUCCCACUAUAAUUGGGUCACUUCCCAGGAAAGAGGCUGCUCUAGUGGAGAUUCAUGACUCCAUACAAGCUCUAUUUCCAGAUAGAGAAUGUUUCACCCUUGUGCGGCCUUUGAACAAUGAAGCUGAGCUCCAACGACUUGAUCAAAUUUCAAUAAG
Molecule: long non-coding RNA, 624 nt
Organism: Cannabis sativa
Lineage: Eukaryota; Viridiplantae; Streptophyta; Magnoliopsida; Rosales; Cannabaceae
Exons: 3
Source: RefSeq, a predicted model, not a curated record